AGGAGCUUAAGUUAAUAAGACUGUAGGCCUUCAAAGCCUAAAGCGAGGUCAAUACCACCUCAGCUUCUG
RNAcentral lists this transfer RNA (69 nucleotides) under Histrio histrio (sargassumfish). Its description in RNAcentral is "tRNA-Trp". It matches the Rfam family "tRNA". Rfam says of the family: Transfer RNA (tRNA) molecules are approximately 80 nucleotides in length. Their secondary structure includes four short double-helical elements and three loops (D, anti-codon, and T loops). The record is from RNAcentral. Lineage: Eukaryota; Metazoa; Chordata; Actinopteri; Lophiiformes; Antennariidae.